This 168-nucleotide unclassified non-coding RNA is filed under the name uncultured Ramariopsis. Its description in RNAcentral is "sequence contains ITS1". Lineage: Eukaryota; Fungi; Basidiomycota; Agaricomycetes; Agaricales; Clavariaceae. The record is from RNAcentral.
UUGAAAUCCAAUGGGAUGUUGCUGGCUUUCACAGGCCGUGCACUCCCGCCUCUACAUCCACCUGUGCACUCGCUGUAGACUAGGAUUGAUUUCCGAGUCUAUGUCUUCAUAUACCCUUUUCUAAAGUCAAUGAAUGUAUUCUUAGGCUUCAGCCAAAAAAAUAAAAUA